CCGUGCUCCACGGGGAAUUGCAAUCCCUCGACCGGAAGUUAACGCCGGGUGCAGAGCCUGUUGUGAGGGUUUGGCGGGCAGGGUAAAAGUUAAUAUUUUUGUUGAGGCUUAAGGUUGAAGCGGCGUAAAACUCCGAACCGUGUCAGGAUGGAAACAUAGCAGCACUAAGGUGACCUUUGCGGGUGAUUUAAUAUUGAGAAGAGAAAAUAUUUUCUGAUACUUUUGUCAGGCAAAUUCGAUAGACAGUGGCACGG
Molecule: signal recognition particle RNA, 254 nt
Filed under: Candidatus Gastranaerophilales bacterium
Lineage: Bacteria; Bacillati; Candidatus Melainabacteria; Candidatus Gastranaerophilales
Description: signal recognition particle sRNA large type
Rfam family: Bacterial large signal recognition particle RNA
About the family: The signal recognition particle (SRP) is a universally conserved ribonucleoprotein involved in the co-translational targeting of proteins to membranes. Archaeal SRP consists of a 7S RNA and homologues of the eukaryotic SRP19 and SRP54 proteins.
Source: RNAcentral